GAUGAAGAACGCAGCGAAAUGCGAUAAUUAAUGUGAAUUGCAGAAUUUAGUGAAUCAUCGAAUCUUUGAACGCACAUUGCGCCCGCCAGCACUCUGGCGGGCAUGCCUGUUCGAGCGUCAUUUCAACCAUCAAGCCCCAGGCUUGCGUUGGAGCCCUGCGGCUGCCGCAGCCUCCUAAAAGCAGUGGCGGGCUCGCUAUCACACCGAGUGCAGUAGAUUACUCUUCGCUCAGGGCGUGCAGCGGGUUCCGGCCGUGAAACCCCCUACUUUUAAAGGUUGACCUCGGAUCAGGUAGGAAUACCCGCUGAACUUAAGCAUAUCAAUAAGCGGAGGA
This 334-nucleotide unclassified non-coding RNA is filed under the name soil metagenome. RNAcentral's name for it is "partial contains 5.8S ribosomal RNA, internal transcribed spacer 2, and large subunit ribosomal RNA". The stretch from base 1 to 120 matches the Rfam family "5.8S ribosomal RNA", at positions 35 to 154 of the family's 154-position model. The record is from RNAcentral.